UCCUGGCCGUAAACGAUGCGUGCUAAGUGUUGGUAUGGCUUUGAGCCGUAUCAGUGCCGUAGGGAAACCGUUAAGCGCGCCGCCUGGGGAGUACGAUCGCAAGAUUGAAACUUAAAGGAAUUGGCGGGGGAGCACCACAAGGGGUGAAGCCUGCGGUUCAAUUGGACCCAACGCCGGGAACCUUACCGGGGGCGCCAGCAGUAUGAAGGUCAGGCUGACGACCUUACCAGACA
Molecule: ribosomal RNA, 233 nt
Filed under: uncultured bacterium
Lineage: Bacteria
Description: partial 16S ribosomal RNA
Rfam family: Archaeal small subunit ribosomal RNA
Source: RNAcentral